This 336-nucleotide unclassified non-coding RNA is filed under the name Hevea brasiliensis (rubber tree). Lineage: Eukaryota; Viridiplantae; Streptophyta; Magnoliopsida; Malpighiales; Euphorbiaceae. The record is from RNAcentral.
UGGAAUGAGAUGGGAUUGUACAGAUCAUCGAAACCGAAUAAUUCUCUCUGUUAGAUUGAUUACUAAGUCCUUUUGUAAAUGCUCUUUUAUGAAGCCUCCCUGGCUAGCAACGAUUCUACCGUUGUUAUAGAUUAGCAAUAUAUUUUUCCUUGGUAAAUGUGGACUAUGGACAUCGCUGAAGUUGAAGAAAAUUUAUUUGCAGCAAGUGAUGCUAAGCUACAUGGAGUAAUGUGCAAGGCACUCUCUGUAAUAUAUUGCAAAAUCGUGUCAAUUGUCAGUUUUCCCUUCUUUGGAAGCAGCACGACCUAGGAGCAAAUCUGGCAUUCAAGCAUUAUG